UUGAACAGCAUUAUGCAGGACGUAGGCAGAGAGGACGGCAAGGAUAGCUAUGAGGGAGGCGGCUCUUGACUUGACGCUUGACCCUUUGCCAGGUCUGGACAGGAUAUACUUGACUGAGAUGUACCUGUACCCAUUGACGAACGGAAAUUACCUUUAUUGUUGAGAAGCUUCUUGCAAGGACAACUUAUGCAGAAGUAAGCCGAGGAGGGGCAAGCCAGAACCAAGCAAAAAGCAGGAAAUGAAAAAGCGCGGGCAGCAGCAAAGGAGGGGUG
Ornithodoros turicata is the source of this 272-nucleotide long non-coding RNA. RefSeq lists it as uncharacterized. The transcript is spliced from 3 exons. The record is from RefSeq and is a predicted model, not a curated record. NCBI's taxonomy places the organism in Eukaryota, Metazoa, Arthropoda, Arachnida, Ixodida, Argasidae.